GUCAACAAAGAGAGGCAAAACCGCGAGGUGGAGCAAAUCUCAAAAAGCCGUCCCAGUUCGGAAUGCAGGCUGCAACCCGCCUGAAUGAAGUUGGAAUCGCUAGUAAUCGCGGAUCAGCAUGCCGCGGUGAAUACGUUCCCGGGCCUUGUACACACCGCCCGUCACACCAUGAGAGUCGGGAACACCCGAAGUCCGUAGCCUAACUGCAAAGAGGGCGCGGCCGAAGGUGGGUUCGAUAAUUGGGGUGAAGUCGUAACAAGGUAGCCGUUCGAGAACGAGCGGCUGGAUCACCUCCUUUCUAAGGAGA
This 307-nucleotide ribosomal RNA is filed under the name Oscillibacter sp. RNAcentral describes it as "partial 16S ribosomal RNA". It matches the Rfam family "Bacterial small subunit ribosomal RNA", at positions 1235 to 1533 of the family's 1533-position model. The record is from RNAcentral. Lineage: Bacteria; Bacillati; Bacillota; Clostridia; Eubacteriales; Oscillospiraceae.